CAUGCAAGUCGAACGAGGACAUAUCCUUCGGGAUAUAAGCCGAGUGGCACAAGGGUGAGCAAUGCAUAGAUUACCUACCUUUAGGAUAAGGACAACUUUGUGAAAACGGAGCUAAUACUUAAUAAUACAAAAGAAAAUAAUUUUCUUUUGUCAAAGGGAGGGUAGCAAUACCUUUCGCCUAGAGAGGGGUUUAUGUCCUAUCAGCUUGUUGGUGGGGUAAUAGCCUACCAAGGCGAAGACGGGUAGCCGGUUUAAGAGGAUGGUCGGCCACACUGGGACUGAGACACUGCCCAGACUUCUACGGAAGGCUGCAGUCGAGAAUCUUUCGCAAUGCCCGAAAGGGUGACGAAGCGACGCCGCGUGGGUGAAGAAGGCCUUCGGGUUGUAAAACCCUGUCAGGAGUUAUGAAAUGUAAGUGCGCUAAUAUCGUGCUUAUUUGACAAAGGCUCCAAAGGAAGCCACGGCUAACUCUGUGCCAGCAGCCGCGGUAAUACAGAGGUGGCGAGCGUUGUUCGGAAUUAUUGGGCGUAAAGAGCACGUAGGUGGGUUUACAAGUCAGAUGUGAAAGCCUUCUGUUCAACGGGAGAAUUGCAUCUGAAACUGCUAAUCUUGAGUAUAGGAGGGGAGAAUGGAACUUCUGGUGGAGCGGUGAAAUGCGUAGAUAUUAGAAGGAACGCCGGCGGCGAAAGCGAUUCUCUGGCCUAUUACUGACACUCAGAGUGCGAAAGCUAGGGGAGCAAACGGGAUUAGAUACCCCGGUAGUCCUAGCCGUAAACGAUGGGCACUAAGUAGAGGGGAUUACCUAUGUUCUCUCUGACGUAGCUAACGCAUUAAGUGCCCCGCCUGGGGAGUACGGCCGCAAGGCUAAAACUCAAAAGAAUUGACGGGGCUCGCACAAGCGGUGGAGCAUGUGGCUUAAUUCGAUGCAACGCGAAAAACCUUACCGGGGCUUGACAUGAUAGAAGUAGGAACCUGAAAGGGGGACGAACGGUAUCCAGUCCGUAGCUAUUACAGGUGUUGCAUGGCUGUCGUCAGCUCGUGUCGUGAGACGUUGGGUUAAGUCCCCUAACGAGCGAAACCCUUGUUUUUAGUUACCAGCGGGUUAUGCCGGGUACUCUAGAAAGACUGCCGUCGUCAAGACGGAGGAAGGUGGGGAUGACGUCAAGUCAUCAUGGCCCUUAUGCCCCGGGCUGCACACGUGCUACAAUGGUCGGUACAGACGGAAGCGAAGCCGAGAGGUGAAGCGAAUCCUAAAAAGCCGAUCUCAGUUCGGAUUGGAGGCUGAAAUUCGCCUCCAUGAAGUUGGAAUCGCUAGUAAUCGCGGAUCAGCAAUGUCGCGGUGAAUAUGUUCCCGAGCCUUGUACACACCGCCCGUCAAGCCACCCAAGCAGGAUGCACCCGAAAACAUUAUAUCUAACCAGGGCAACUUGGAGGUAAAUGUUGAAGGGGUGUUUUGUGAGGAGGACUAAGUCGUAACAAGGUAGUCGUAGGAGAACCUGCGGCUGGAUCACCUCCUUUCU
Molecule: ribosomal RNA, 1520 nt
Filed under: uncultured Planctomycetales bacterium
Lineage: Bacteria; Pseudomonadati; Planctomycetota; Planctomycetia; Planctomycetales
Description: 16S ribosomal RNA
Rfam family: Bacterial small subunit ribosomal RNA
Source: RNAcentral